GAUGAACGCUAGCUACAGGCUUAACACAUGCAAGUCGAGGGGAAACGAUAGAGAAAGCUUGCUUUUUCUAGGCGUCGACCGGCGCACGGGUGAGUAACGCGUAUCCAACCUGCCCAUCACUUGGGGAUAACCUUGCGAAAGUAAGACUAAUACCCAAUGAUAUCUCUAGAAGACAUCUGAAGGAGAUUAAAGAAUUAUCGGUGAUGGAUGGGAUGCGUCUGAUUAGCUUGUUGGCGGGGUAACGGCACACCAAGGCGACGAUCAGUAGGGGUUCUGAGAGGAAGGUCCCCCACAUUGGGCCUGAGACACGGUCCAAACUCCUACGGGAGGCAACAGUGAGGAAUAUUGGUCAAUGGACGAGAGUCUGAACCAGCCAAGUAGCGUGCAGGAUGACGGCCCUAUGGGUUGUAAACUGCUUUUAUAAGGGAAUAAAGUGAGUCUCGUGAGACUUUUUGCAUGUACCUUAUGAAUAAGGACCGGCUAAUUCCGUGCCAGCCGCCGCCGUAA
This 507-nucleotide ribosomal RNA is filed under the name uncultured bacterium. RNAcentral's name for it is "partial 16S ribosomal RNA". It matches the Rfam family "Bacterial small subunit ribosomal RNA", at positions 28 to 523 of the family's 1533-position model. The record is from RNAcentral.